RNAcentral lists this ribosomal RNA (469 nucleotides) under uncultured bacterium. Its description in RNAcentral is "bacterial SSU rRNA". It matches the Rfam family "Bacterial small subunit ribosomal RNA", at positions 328 to 795 of the family's 1533-position model. The record is from RNAcentral.
UGCCCAGACUCCUACGGGAGGCAGCAGUGAGGAAUAUUGGUCAAUGGGCGAGAGCCUGAACCAGCCAAGUCGCGUGAGGGAAGACGGUCCUAUGGAUUGUAAACCUCUUUUGCCGGGGAGCAAAAAGCGGUACGCGUACCGCAUCGAGAGUACCCGGAGAAAAAGCAUCGGCUAACUCCGUGCCAGCAGCCGCGGUAAUACGGAGGAUGCGAGCGUUAUCCGGAUUUAUUGGGUUUAAAGGGUGCGUAGGGGGUUAAUUAAGUCAGCGGUGAAAGUUUGUGGCUCAACCAUAAAAUUGCCGUUGAAACUGGUUGACUUGAGUAUAUUUGAGGUAGGCGGAAUGCGUGGUGUAGCGGUGAAAUGCAUAGAUAUCACGCAGAACUCCGAUUGCGAAGGCAGCUUACUAAACUAUAACUGACACUGAAGCACGAAAGCGUGGGGAUCAAACAGGAUUAGAUACCCGCGUAAC